UGGGGAAUAUUGCACAAUGGGGGAAACCCUGAUGCAGCGACUCCGCGUGAACGAAGAAGGUAUUCGUAUCGUAAAGUUCUGUCCUAUGGGAAGAUAAUGACAGUACCAUAGAAGAAAGCUCCGGCUAAAUACGUGCCAGCAGCCGCGGUAAUACGUAUGGAGCGAGCGUUGUCCGGAAUUAUUGGGCGUAAAGGGUACGCAGGCGGUUUAAUAAGUCGAAUGUUAAAGAUCGGGGCUCAACCCCGCAAAGCAUUGGAAACUGAUAAACUUGAGUAGUGGAGAGGAAAGUGGAAUUCCUAGUGUAGUGGUGAAAUACGUAGAUAUUAGGAGGAAUACCAGUAGCGAAGGCGACUUUCUGGACACAAACUGACGCUGAGGUACGAAAGCGUGGGGAGCAAACAGG
RNAcentral lists this ribosomal RNA (403 nucleotides) under bacterium. RNAcentral describes it as "partial 16S ribosomal RNA". It matches the Rfam family "Bacterial small subunit ribosomal RNA", at positions 355 to 776 of the family's 1533-position model. The record is from RNAcentral.